RNAcentral lists this ribosomal RNA (477 nucleotides) under uncultured Candidatus Scalindua sp. RNAcentral's name for it is "bacterial SSU rRNA". It matches the Rfam family "Bacterial small subunit ribosomal RNA", at positions 365 to 832 of the family's 1533-position model. The record is from RNAcentral. Lineage: Bacteria; Pseudomonadati; Planctomycetota; Candidatus Brocadiia; Candidatus Brocadiales; Candidatus Scalinduaceae.
UUCGCAAUGCCCGAAAGGGUGACGAAGCGACGCCGCGUGAGUGAGGAAGGCCUUCGGGUUGUAAAGCUCUGUCAGGAGUUAAGAAAUAUAAGUGUGCUAAUACCACAUUUAUUUGACAAAGGCUCCAAAGGAAGCCACGGCUAACUCUGUGCCAGCAGCCGCGGUAAUACAGAGGCGGCAAGCGUUGUUCGGAAUUAUUGGGCGUAAAGAGCACGUAGGUGGGUUUGUAAGUCAGAUGUGAAAGCCUUCUGUUCAACGGAAGAAUUGCAUCUGAAACUGCGAGUCUUGAGUGUAGGAGGGGAGAAUGGAACUUCUGGUGGAGCGGUGAAAUGCGUAGAUAUCAGAAGGAACGCCGGCGGCGAAAGCGAUUCUCUGGCCUAUUACUGACACUCAGUGUGCGAAAGCUAGGGGAGCAAACGGGAUUAGAUACCCCGGUAGUCCUAGCUGUAAACGAUGGGCACUAAGUAGAGGGGCUUU